CCUACGGGGAGCAGCAGUGAGGAAUAUUGGUCAAUGGGCGCGAGCCUGAACCAGCCAAGUCGCGUGAGGGAGGACGGCCCUACGGGUUGUAAACCUCUUUUGCCGGGGAGCAACGGGCGCCACGUGUGGCGUCACUGAGAGUACCCGGAGAAAAAGCAUCGGCUAACUCCGUGCCAGCAGCCGCGGUAAUACGGAGGAUGCGAGCGUUAUCGGGAUUUAGUGGGUUUAAAGGGUGCGUAGGCGGAUCGUUGAGCCAGGGGUCAAAUUGAGGGGCUCAACCCUUUCCCGCCAUUGAUACUGGCGUUCUUGAGUGGAAGAGAGGUAUGCGGAAUGCGUGGUGUAGCGGUGAAAUGCAUAGAUAUCACGCAGAACCCCGAUUGCGAAGGCAGCAUGC
This 394-nucleotide ribosomal RNA is filed under the name uncultured bacterium. RNAcentral describes it as "partial 16S ribosomal RNA". It matches the Rfam family "Bacterial small subunit ribosomal RNA", at positions 338 to 729 of the family's 1533-position model. The record is from RNAcentral.